GGCAGCACCUGGUGUCGGUGUGUCCUGAGUCUAUCUGCUGUCAGGAGGCUGACCUGGACCAUACCGUGCGUGGUGAAGCAUGUGUAACAAAUUUUCGCACAUUUGGAGUACUGUGCCGGGAAGAGGACGUGCUUUCCCUGAAGGAUGUCCGAGCUGAAGGAUGUCCGAGCGGAGACACCGGAGCGUCCUGUCAACAGCAGUCUCUUUAGGUUGACUGCAUCCAGGAAGUUAACCCUUUGGGCCAGGGGGCCUUUGGGGAAGAAGAACAGGAUCCUGACUCCAGCCUGUCAUCCACUCCAUCAGAGCUGUUUCCCCCUGAUAAACACUACUUCACCUAAGGGACUUGAGUAUCCAGUUCUUCGUUGACCUUCAGCAUUCAGUUGUUUGUCUUCACCUUUUCAGGUAAGCAAUUUAAAAAAAAUGCUUUUGUAAUGUUGAGAAACACUGAAAUUAUUAUUCAUAAAGAACUUUCAACCACUGUUCUGUGAUGUCAUGUAUAGUGAUAUACAAAUAUAUCUGAAGGAAAGGUGUAUUUGGGAUAAUCAAUAUUAUUAGUAUUAUUCAUGUAUUUAUUUAUUUUUAAAUCAGAGAAUGGGGGGGAAAAAGAUUAUUAGUACAAAAACUAGUAACUAGUAAAAAAAAAAUUGGUAACAAUAAUGUUCAUUCAUUAAUUGACGCUUGGUCAAACUCAUCUAAUUAAGUAUUGCUGUGUCAUUAACAUGUUGUAUUUAUUUAUUUUGUAGGCUAAAACUUGAGAAGCCAUCACCAUGUUGUUGUUUGUUGUAUUUCACAUUAUGCAGAUUUUUCAGCACUUGGUCCUCCAUAUAUAUUAUAGAAGUCACUGCAUUUUCUGACUUUUCCAGGUUUCCUGUGUCCAGCAUCUUCAAGACAGACUAAGCUAACUUUUCAUAUUUUUUGCACAUUUAUAUUUAGGUUAAUUUUUAACUUUCUUUUAAACCAACCAUUGCACACACUUCCAUCCAAGGAGAGGUUACAUCUUGAUGGUAACUUUUUAGAUUAACAAAACUUUUGUGAGAUUUGUAAUUGUUGUUUCUGGGGAGGGGGCGGAGAGGGUAAGUCUAAACAUUGCAUGCAAGAGACCAAUACCGGCGUCUCAGGGGAAAGCUAUCUGUAUACACAACUAUCAAUCUACUUGGUUGCUUCAAAAUUUUAAGAUAGUUUGCAAAUAACCCAGAGAGAAGCACAUCAAACAAACAAAAAAAGCAAUGGUAGAUUUUCAAGGCCUUUCAAUGACAUUAACAUUAUUUUCAAUGACAUUCAUUUUGCAAUUAACAUUAGUUUUAUCUUCUAAAACAUUACUAUAAUGACAUUCAAAUGUAGAUUACCACAAACACAAUAAUAAACUUCAAGUCUCAUUGGAUAAAAUAAAAAAUUAUUGACAGUCCUGAAAUGAUGGGUUAAACAUCCUUAAUAAGCCCACAUUAAUAAUAUAUUAAUUUCAGGUGAAAUACUUAUAUUUUUACUUUAAAUUCUAAUCUCAUUUAAAGAAAUUGACACUAUAUAGUACUUUUCAUAUGAAAUUAUGUAAAAACAAAGAGAAAAGAAAAGAUAAGUCUAAAACUAAAAAGUGGUCUUCCUCGUCUCGCAUGGUCUCAGUAGCAGUCACAGGUUUGCAUGGUCUCAGUGGCAGU
Molecule: long non-coding RNA, 1652 nt
Organism: Centropristis striata (black sea bass)
Lineage: Eukaryota; Metazoa; Chordata; Actinopteri; Perciformes; Serranidae
Exons: 3
Source: RefSeq, a predicted model, not a curated record